This 253-nucleotide ribosomal RNA is filed under the name uncultured bacterium. RNAcentral's name for it is "partial 16S ribosomal RNA". It matches the Rfam family "Bacterial small subunit ribosomal RNA", at positions 524 to 776 of the family's 1533-position model. The record is from RNAcentral.
UACGGGGGGAGCAAGCGUUGUUCGGAUUUACUGGGCGUAAAGGGCGCGUAGGCGGCGCAACAAGUCACUUGUGAAAUCUCCGGGCUUAACUCGGAAAGGUCAAGUGAUACUGUUGUGCUAGAGUGCGGAAGGGGCAACUGGAAUUCUCGGUGUAGCGGUGAAAUGCGUAGAUAUCAGGAAGAACACCCGUGGCGAAGGCGGUUCUCUGGGACGGUACUGACGCUGAGACGCGAAAGCGUGGGGAGCGAACAGG